CAAUGGAAAAUAAGUAUGUUCUUGCAAAUUCUGAGGCUUAAAUAUUAAGGUAUGUAAUUAUUUCUCUUGCUAAACCACGAAGAUACUCAAGACUUAAUCCACCUUCUUGUUUCUCUUUCGUAAGAUCGGUCAUUUGUGGCAAGUAUCAUAGCUAUCUCUAAGAUAGAUAAUACCAUCUGGAAUAAGUCCAGGGAGAGUUGAAAUAAGUGGAUCAAACCAUGAAUCAUAAGUGCUAAUUUCUAUCUCAUUCAUACAGUUGGCUUCAUGCACAGCUCUUACAUACCCGUUCAUCAAGUAAGUACCAACAGUAUGUGGAUGAGCUUUAAAACUGAAUAUCACAAUUUUGAUUUUGAAUAUGUUGCUAAACUUACUAUGAUUAUAAUUAUUAUUGUUCAAAAAAUCAGAAUGGGAUAAUCAGGUAACCAACAGAGUUGAUGCAAGAAAUGUAAAAUUACCUGCUCAUUCCUACCUUUUAACAACUCAUUAUCUGUUUGGUUCAGAUUCUUUAUGUUGCAAUAAGCACUUUGAAAAGACACAUCCAAACAUUCCUCAUUUCAAAUUUCUGUUAUAUAGUGUUCGAUAUUGACGUUGGAGGUUGCUUAGUUCGAAUUUGAAGCCACAUCCAACUUGAUUUUCCUUAACGAAAAAUCUACUUCAAUUGAUUGUUUUAGCAAUUUAUGAAGCUACCAUGAUGGUUUAGUUAGUGAAGUUAGAUGUUCUAGGGGGAUUGCAAAUAAUGAUUAAUUUUAAUGAAAUUUUGAUAGUAUAGUUUUUGUUUCUUUUAUGAGCUUAAUUUGAGUCUUUAUUGCUCUUUCAAAAUUUAUGCCACUGGAUAAUAUGGAUUACAAGCUAUUUACCUAUUUUAUGGGAUUAAGUUUCAUCAAAAAGAAACAUGAAGGAUGGACAAUAUAAGCCUUUAGUUAUGCUCUAGGAGAUUGGAAAAGGGCAACAGAGUUUUAGUUUUAAUUAAGUAAUUGCUUACGUAUUUGUGUUCAGGUGUUGGUUUUUUUGACACAAGUGAAACCCUCUAAGGCAAGGCUUAAAACUUAGCACCUCAAAUUUAAUUAUAUGUGUUUCUGUCUAAUUUUCAAAUUCCUUUUAAUGGGUGAUAAGUUUCAAAAAUUGCAAAAGUCACCCUUGAAGUUCAUUUUGUUGUGCAGGGGGUAUUAGCGGAAGAGGCUGAAAACAUUGCUUCAAAGUAUAACCGUGUUUUAUUGCAAAAGUUUGUUUCAUAUUGAUGGUGUUGUUGCUUCUGAAAUCUUUUGGCUGGUUAUAAUUAAAAAGCAUUAUAGCAAAUUGGGUAGACACGAAGAUUAGAAGGUAAAACUUGUAAAAGAUGGUCCUAGCAGAGCAUAUCUUACAUAUACACCACGAAAUGCCUACCAAACGGUUUAUAUCCAUCAGAUAUGUUCACCUAUGGUUGCUGAAAUCUUUAUCUUUAUUUUUUGGUAGUUUCAUUCUCACUGGCCUUAAUUGUGAUUGUGUGUACGAGACUUAGACUGCAUGUAUGAUUUUUCUAUUUUUUUAGGAUAAUCAAGAAUACAAUAACUUUUGGAAACAUUGAUUUCAUGACAACUAUAACAGUACCAGCCUAAUUUUAUUGGGGUUUUAAUCAAAACCUUAAUCA
This 1627-nucleotide long non-coding RNA is filed under the name Lactuca sativa (garden lettuce). Its description in RNAcentral is "long non-coding RNA (LSAT_LNC000672)". Lineage: Eukaryota; Viridiplantae; Streptophyta; Magnoliopsida; Asterales; Asteraceae. The record is from RNAcentral.